Long non-coding RNA from Drosophila subobscura, 1098 nucleotides. RefSeq lists it as uncharacterized. The record is from RefSeq and is a predicted model, not a curated record. The transcript is spliced from 2 exons. NCBI's taxonomy places the organism in Eukaryota, Metazoa, Arthropoda, Insecta, Diptera, Drosophilidae.
UACCUGUCGCCCGAGGCUGUCUCUGCCGCCUCUGCCUCUGCCUCUGUCUCGGCCGCUGGCGUUGCCGACGCUAAAUGGAAACGUUUUGACGCGUUAUAAUAACAAGUGUUUGCCGUCUUUGGGCAUUCAGUGUGCGAUAUCCCGGCGGUGCAGACAACUACGUUCGCCGCACACUGACAGCUAUUUAGCUACCUAGAGAAAAAUCCGACUCUAUAUUCAAAAAAUUCAAAUUACCAAACCCCCAAAAAGAACUAUUCGCGAAGAAAAAAACACUCAAAGUUCGAUAUUAAAUGAACAAAUAAAACGCAAAACACACACAGAGAAGAAACCUUAAAGCCCUCAAAACCCUUUUGCAUUUCGAAUGAAAAAAUUGUGUUUUUUUUAUGGUUACUGUUGGUGAUAAAUCAAGAAAAAAGUAUUGUAAUAUAACCGAGUUACAUAUAGUCACAAUAUCGCGUCAAAAGUCUCGAUUUAUUUAUACAAAUUGAUUUAGAUAUUCAAUUGCGCGCGCGCCCAAUGAAAAGUUACCUGAAAAGUGAAAAGAAAAGAAAAGAUAAAGGAUAAAGGAAACCCCCCAUCCAGUGAAUCCAAACCCCAUCACCAAUAGUUGAUAAACCAUAUCAACGGUCCGGUGACUAAGCUCAGUCACAGCCUCAGUCCUUCUACCUCCACCUCGCUCCCCCAGAACAUCAUCCCACCCCCCAAAAACCAACACACACACACACACACACAAGCAGCGAAGACACGACGCGACAGAGACGAGAGCAGCAGACGCAAGAAACCUUCGAACUAAAAUGUAAACCGAAACGCGUCCACACAGCUUCCCAUAGGAUUCUUUCAAUUUCAUUCCAAUCUGUAAAUGUUCCCCAAGCGUCGCCCCGCACUCCUUUCCAGGCAGAAGGUGCGCGAAGCAAUUUACAGCAUUCCUGCAAAGUUCUAGUUUAAUUCAUUCAAUUAAAUGGAAUUAACUUAAAUCAAUUACAAACUAUUUAUUGAGAACCAAAUCGUGUGAUAUUUCCAACUACCAUAAUUUUUUGUUUUUUGUUUAGUCAUAGAGAAGAUAAAAAGAAUAUAAAAAAGCUCAAACAAAAACAAAAA